Non-coding RNA from Vicia faba (fava bean), 264 nucleotides. Lineage: Eukaryota; Viridiplantae; Streptophyta; Magnoliopsida; Fabales; Fabaceae. The record is from the annotation of a GenBank genome assembly.
AUGUCCAGUGAAACAAAGAGUACUUUGUUUAUCAUGCACAAGCUGAAGUAUCCCCAACUAUCCAAUGCAGGUUGUAAAAGAGCUAGGGAAAAGGCUAUUUAUUUGGGUGUGCCUUUUGUUGUUGAGUUGUUUAGAAACAAAAGAACACUUCAUCAAAUCCCAAGUUAUAGCGGCAACAGGUGGUUCGUCAGCAUGUGCCUCUAUGAUUUGAUUGCCCUUUUUAAAAAAAAUUCAAUGAAUUGUUUGAGUUGUGUUACAAGUUAG